Molecule: ribosomal RNA, 497 nt
Filed under: uncultured bacterium
Lineage: Bacteria
Description: partial 16S ribosomal RNA
Rfam family: Bacterial small subunit ribosomal RNA
Source: RNAcentral
GACGAACGCUGGCGGCGUGCCUAAUACAUGCAAGUUGAGCGCUUAAGGUUGGUACUUGUCCCAACUGGAUGAGCAGCGAACGGGUGAGUAACGCGUGGGGAAUCUGCCUUUGAGCGGGGGACAACAUUUGGAAACGAAUGCUAAUACCGCAUAAAAACUUUAAACACAAGUUUUAAGUUUGAAAGAUGCAAUUGCAUCACUCAAAGAUGAUCCCGCGUUGUAUUAGCUAGUUGGUGAGGUAAAGGCUCACCAAGGCGAUGAUACAUAGCCGACCUGAGAGGGUGAUCGGCCACCAUGGGACUGAGACACGGCCCAAACUCCUACGGGAGGCAGCAGUAGGGAAUCUUCGGCAAUGGACGAAAGUCUGACCGAGCAACGCCGCGUGAGUGAAGAAGGUUUUCGGAUCGUAAAACUCUGUUGGUAGAGAAGAACGUUGGUGAGAGUGGAAAGCUCAUCAAGUGACGGUAACUACACAGAAAGGGACGGCUAACUACGUG